Molecule: ribosomal RNA, 494 nt
Filed under: uncultured bacterium
Lineage: Bacteria
Description: partial 16S ribosomal RNA
Rfam family: Bacterial small subunit ribosomal RNA
Source: RNAcentral
GACGAACGCUGGCGGCGUGCUUAACACAUGCAAGUCGAACGGUGAAGCGCCUUCCUUUUUGGUGGGUGUGGAUGAGUGGCGAACGGGUGAGUAACACGUGAGUAACCUGCCCCCUUCUUCUGGAUAACCGCAUGAAAGUGUGGCUAAUACGGGAUAUUCUGGGUCUGUCGCAUGAUGGGUCUGGGAAAGAUAUUGUUUCGGUGGGGGAUGGGCUCGCGGCCUAUCAGCUUGUUGGUGGGGUGAUGGCCUACCAAGGCGGUGACGGGUAGCCGGCCUGGGAGGGUGGACGGUCACACUGGGACUGAGACACGGCCCAGGCUCCUACGGGAGGCAGCAGUGGGGAAUAUUGCACAAUGGGCGCAAGCCUGAUGCAGCGACGCCGCGUGCGGGAUGGAGGCCUUCGGGUUGUGAACCUCUUUCGCCAGUGAAGCAGGCCUGCCUCGUUUGUGGGUGGGUUGACGGUAGCUGGAGAAGAAGCGCCGGCUAACUACGUG